GGGUCCGUAAAGGUUUCGACGGGGAUUUUCAAGCAGGAUAAGCGUGGCGUGCCGGGCAAUCACGGAAAAGGCCCAACCUUAAAAUUAAACGCUAACGAUAACAACGUAGCACUGGCUGCCUGACGGCAGUGCCGCGGCUAUUAGCCGCCCGUUCACCGGGGAGGACCACGACCCCGUGCUGAGCGUCAAGCAGUGGUGAACAUGAACCGGGAUUUCGCACUUGUACCGGUCAUGCAUCAAAGGGCUACCGGAGAGCGGAGGCUGUCUGCUGCCGCCGUUCAAAGGGAAUUCUAAAUAACAGACUGUCCACGAAGAAAGUCCUGCCGCGAGGUUUUCGGACAGGGGUUCGAUUCCCCUCGGAUCCACCA
This 368-nucleotide transfer-messenger RNA is filed under the name Eubacteriales. Its description in RNAcentral is "Firm-07 sp900770145 Standard tmRNA". It matches the Rfam family "transfer-messenger RNA". From Rfam's summary of the family: Bacterial tmRNA, also known as 10Sa RNA or SsrA, is named for its dual tRNA and mRNA-like properties. Lineage: Bacteria; Bacillati; Bacillota; Clostridia. The record is from RNAcentral. RNAcentral also lists the same sequence under 1 other name.